This 225-nucleotide long non-coding RNA is filed under the name Spirodela polyrhiza (greater duckweed). RNAcentral's name for it is "long non-coding RNA (SPOL_LNC000744)". The record is from RNAcentral. Lineage: Eukaryota; Viridiplantae; Streptophyta; Magnoliopsida; Alismatales; Araceae.
AGAUUUUGAUGGACAGGUCAUCAACACCCCCGCUCAAGCUUUUGAAUAGAACGUUCAUGAUCCAGAUAUAACUGCUUGUGCCCUCUGUUCUAGUUAUGAACAUGCAGACAUAGUGUCUUAGAUACGAAGGAUUGAUGGCAAUGAAUGAUAGAGUUAGGCUGCCCCAACCUAUUGCUGGAAACUCAUGGCCAAAGAGGACACAUCAACCUCCUGCAUACACAGCAC